RNAcentral lists this ribosomal RNA (534 nucleotides) under uncultured Variovorax sp. Its description in RNAcentral is "bacterial SSU rRNA". It matches the Rfam family "Bacterial small subunit ribosomal RNA", at positions 1 to 524 of the family's 1533-position model. The record is from RNAcentral. Lineage: Bacteria; Pseudomonadati; Pseudomonadota; Betaproteobacteria; Burkholderiales; Comamonadaceae.
ACUACUAUGUAGAGUUUGAUCCUGGCUCAGAUUGAACGCUGGCGGCAUGCCUUACACAUGCAAGUCGAACGGCAGCGCGGGAGCAAUCCUGGCGGCGAGUGGCGAACGGGUGAGUAAUACAUCGGAACGUGCCCAAUCGUGGGGGAUAACGCAGCGAAAGCUGUGCUAAUACCGCAUAAGAUCUAUGGAUGAAAGCAGGGGAUCGUAAGACCUUGCGCGAAUGGAGCGGCCGAUGGCAGAUUAGGUAGUUGGUGAGGUAAAGGCUCACCAAGCCUUCGAUCUGUAGCUGGUCUGAGAGGACGACCAGCCACACUGGGACUGAGACACGGCCCAGACUCCUACGGGAGGCAGCAGUGGGGAAUUUUGGACAAUGGGCGCAAGCCUGAUCCAGCCAUGCCGCGUGCAGGAUGAAGGCCUUCGGGUUGUAAACUGCUUUUGUACGGAACGAAAAGUCUCUUUCUAAUAAAGAGGGAUCAUGACGGUACCGUAAGAAUAAGCACCGGCUAACUACGUGCCAGCAGCAGCCGCGGUAAU